CUGUAAACCCGAAUGCUCAAAGUAAUUAAUUCUAUUUAGUACUGUUAACUUAAAUCAUUACAAUUAGUUCAAAUUAAUUAACCUUGUUGAGUAUUUAGAACUUUCAGAUAUUUAUGAGUUUGUACAAAUUAAACUUUUUAAGUUAGAUGAAUGCAUGUUGUUUUUAAUUUGCACUAACUGUCUCUUUAAUGUACUCCAACUUAAAAUCCCUCAGUUUAGAGAUUUUGCGUCUGACGUCAUCCGUGUUCACGUAAGCUGCUCGCGUUGAGUUCUUCUCCUCAAGAUGACGGAUCGGUCGCUUCAUGGGGUGCUGUAAGUAUCACCUUUAAACUCAAUGUAUCAAUUCUAAAGGCCAUUAUGUUUACUUUUCAUGUACAUAAUUGUGUUUAACAGUUAGAUGUGAUGUAGAUAUAAUAUUUUUAGAUGCGUUGUCACAUUGUUGCUGUCUUUUGUGAGUAAUGGCAUAUUUGGCUAGGGAAUUUAGUGACUGCAGUACUGGAAGAUUCCAGUAGGGGGCGUUGACAGGUGACUAGGGUCAAGCACGCGUUCCUUUAGUAUCAUAGAACAAUACACUGAUCGAGGGAAACUCAGCGUGUUUCUUUGUCUCUAUACCUGUUCCCUUAUUGCAGAUUUCAAAUAAGAUGAUAGACUGGGAGUGCAGGGUGUAAAAAGAUUCAUCGUUCAAGACUCCACCUCCUCAGACACCACACAGCUAGAACAUAGACACUGCUCAAAAAUAAGUCCACUUCCAUCUUGAAGAUUCUGAAGUGCACAUUGAGAAGGAGCCACUGGAGCAAUAUACGGUUGUGCGUUACAGCUCUAAUGCCCAAAUGCAUAGUGACCCAGUGAAUGUCUCUGUUGUUCUUGAGGACGAAUUGGUCCACUCCCCACCCACAACCAACUUCCAGAGGCCUUUCUUGUCCUGUUUGGAUUCCAGUAUGCUUUUCACAUACAUAUUCCAAAAGGACUUGCAAAAACAUUUGUAUUUGUGCAAAAAACAUUUGCUUGGCAUGGAAGGUGGGAAACUGUCUCCUCGCCUGCAAACAUUAAAGAACGAGUUGAUGUGAAGCAUAACUUGUACUACCUCAGCACACACAAAAGACAAAAAGAGUUACUUAAAUGUUAUCUAACUGAUGUUACUCUGAUUUUUUACUUGUAUCUUCUUAGUUCUUAUUGACAAGUUAUUGUAUUAACAAACCGGUUCAGUUUAAGAAAUUGUCAUGUUUAAUGCAACUGUGUGGUGUUAAUAUAUGAAGUUGGCUGUUAAGCAUUACUUGCUCAUUUCUCAUUUUAUAAAAUGCUGUUAAACCGUUUGAGCCUGUUAAAAGGUAUGUUGUGUUGCUAAGAGAAUUUAAUUUUUGACUGAAAAAUAUGAAAUGCUGUUAAACAGUUAUGUUACCUUGAACCCAUUAAAAGGGUAACUUUACUUUUGCUAAACAGACUUUAAUUUUUCACUGCAGAUUGUAUCACAUUUGUAAAUUUAAGAGAGAUGUUUAAUGCAACUGUCUCAUGCUAGUUUAAAUGUAUGAAAUGUGCUGUGGAGCAAUCCUUUUGUGAAAUAAAUUGCCAAAAUUUUAUUACAUAUGUCAUGUGUUUCUGUGAAAUUGCUGAAGCAUUUUGAUAAAGAUUUUAGAAGUUGAUUUAACCUGAUAUAGAAAAUAAAUAAUUUGCUUAGCAAGAACUCAAAUAGAAAAGUAUAGUAAAUGACACAUAUGAUUUGCAAGAACUAAAAAUACACAAGUUUAGUAAAUUAAAUGUUUGAGUUGCAAGAACUCAAAAUAUAAC
Molecule: non-coding RNA, 1785 nt
Organism: Misgurnus anguillicaudatus (oriental weatherfish)
Lineage: Eukaryota; Metazoa; Chordata; Actinopteri; Cypriniformes; Cobitidae
Source: RefSeq, a predicted model, not a curated record